This 468-nucleotide ribosomal RNA is filed under the name uncultured bacterium. Its description in RNAcentral is "partial 16S ribosomal RNA". It matches the Rfam family "Bacterial small subunit ribosomal RNA", at positions 28 to 507 of the family's 1533-position model. The record is from RNAcentral.
GACGAACGCUGGCGGCGUGCUUAACACAUGCAAGUCGAGCGGAAAGGCCCUGCGGGGUUCUCGUGCGGCGAACGCGAGCGUAACAGGAACAUGACCUUCCCCUGCCCUUGAGUUAACCAUCGCUUACGGGGACUAAUACUGAUAACUGAUUCUAGCUCCUGCUGCAUGGUUGGGGUUGGUUAUCUUCUUCGGUUGGGGAUGGACUCGCGGCGUAUCAGCUUGUUGGUGGGGUAAUGGCCUACCAAGGCGGUGACGGGUAGCCGGCCUGAGAGGGUGACCGGCCACACUGGGACUGAGACACGGCCCAGACUCCUACGGGAGGCAGCAGUGGGGAAUAUUGCACAAUGGGCGGAAGCCUGAUGCAGCGACGCCGCGUGAGGGAUGACGGCCUUCGGGUUGUAAACCUCUUUCGGCAGGGACGAAGCGUAAGUGACGGUACCUGGAGAAGAAGCGCCGGCCAACUACGUG